UGGUUAGAAUACCUGCCUGUCACGCAGGGGGUCGCGGGUUCGAGCCCCGUCCGUUCCGCCA
Molecule: transfer RNA, 61 nt
Filed under: Yersinia pestis PY-13
Lineage: Bacteria; Pseudomonadati; Pseudomonadota; Gammaproteobacteria; Enterobacterales; Yersiniaceae
Also listed under: 7 other names
Description: partial tRNA-OTHER
Rfam family: tRNA
About the family: Transfer RNA (tRNA) molecules are approximately 80 nucleotides in length. Their secondary structure includes four short double-helical elements and three loops (D, anti-codon, and T loops). Further hydrogen bonds mediate the characteristic L-shaped molecular structure. tRNAs have two regions of fundamental functional importance: the anti-codon, which is responsible for specific mRNA codon recognition, and the 3' end, to which the tRNAs corresponding amino acid is attached (by aminoacyl-tRNA synthetases). tRNAs cope with the degeneracy of the genetic code in two manners: having more than one tRNA (with a specific anti-codon) for a particular amino acid; and 'wobble' base-pairing, i.e. permitting non-standard base-pairing at the 3rd anti-codon position.
Source: RNAcentral